UACAGAGGGUGCGAGCGUUAAUCGGAUUUACUGGGCGUAAAGGGCGCGUAGGCGGCCAGCACAAGUCAGUUGUGAAAUCUCCGAGCUUAACUCGGAACGGUCAACUGAUACUGUGCGGCUAGAGUGCGGAAGGGGCAACUGGAAUUCUUGGUGUAGCGGUGAAAUGCGUAGAUAUCAAGAGGAACACCUGCGGCGAAGGCGGGUUGCUGGGCCGACACUGACGCUGAGGCGCGAAAGCUAGGGGAGCGAACGGG
RNAcentral lists this ribosomal RNA (254 nucleotides) under uncultured bacterium. RNAcentral describes it as "partial 16S ribosomal RNA". It matches the Rfam family "Bacterial small subunit ribosomal RNA", at positions 524 to 776 of the family's 1533-position model. The record is from RNAcentral.